CAGCCUUGGAUGCCAGCCAACCGCCCGCGUGCCGGGAUGAACGCCCUUCGGGUUGUUAAACCGCCUUUUAGUAGGGAAGAAGCCUUUCGGGGUGACGGUACCUUGCCAGAAAAAGGACCGGCUAACCUACGUGGCCAGCAGCCGCGGUAAUACGUAGGGUCCGAGCGUUGUCCCCGGAAUUAUUGGGCGUAAAGAGCUCGUAGGCGGUUUGUCGCGUCUGCUGUGAAAUCCCGGGGCUCAAACUCCGGGCCUGCAGUGGGUACGGGCAGACUUUGAGUGGUGUAGGGGAGACUGGAAUUCCUGAUGUAGCGGUGGAAUGCGCAGAUAUCAGGAGGAACACCGAUGGCGAAGGCAGGUCUCUGGGCACUUACUGACGCUGAGGAGCGAAAGCGUGGGGAGCGAACAGGAUUAGAUACCCUGGUAGUCCACGCCGUAAACGUUGGGCGCUAGAUGUGGGGACCUUUCCACGGUUUCCGUGUCGUAGCUAACGCAUUAAGCGCCCCGCCUGGGGAGUACGGCCGCAAGGCUAAAACUCAAAGGAAUUGACGGGGGCCCGCACAAGCGGCGGAGCAUGCGGAUUAAUUCGAUGCAACGCGAAGAACCUUACCAAGGCUUGACAUAUACGAGAACACCGUAGAGAUACGGGACUCUUUGGACACUCGUAUACAGGUGGUGCAUGGUUGUCGUCAGCUCGUGUCGUGAGAUGUUGGGUUAAGUCCCGCAACGAGCGCAACCCUCGUCGCAUGUUGCCAGCACGUUAUGGUGGGGACUCAUGUGAGACUGCCGGGGUCAACUCGGAGGAAGGUGGGGAUGACGUCAAAUCAUCAUGCCCCUUAUGUCUUGGGCUUCACGCAUGCUACAAUGGCCGGUACAAAGGGCUGCGAUGUCGUAAGGCGGAGCGAAUCCCAAAAAGCCGGUCUCAGUUCGGAUUGAGGUCUGCAACUCGACCUCAUGAAGUCGGAGUCGCUAGUAAUCGCAGAUCAGCAACGCUGCGGUGAAUACGUUCCCGGGCCUUGUACACACCGCCCGUCAAGUCAUGAAAGUCGGUAACACCCGAAGCCGGUGGCCUAACCCUUGUGGAGGGAGCCGUCGAAGGGGAUUGA
This 1103-nucleotide ribosomal RNA is filed under the name Agromyces sp. RNAcentral describes it as "bacterial SSU rRNA". It matches the Rfam family "Bacterial small subunit ribosomal RNA", at positions 359 to 1471 of the family's 1533-position model. Lineage: Bacteria; Bacillati; Actinomycetota; Actinomycetes; Micrococcales; Microbacteriaceae. The record is from RNAcentral.